UUCAUCUAAUCUCCGUAGGCUGCUGUGACGUUUUCAGAGACCUGUACUGUUUUCGUUCCUGGUAAAUGUAUCGAUAAAUCACAGCAGGAGAAAAAGUCCUGACAUCUAUCCAGAAGUUUUCACUGCAGCUCCCAGCCAGCACCAAGCUCCACGGGUCACCUGAGAAGCACUUUGCCAUUGCUCUGUAAUUACCAUGGAACCUCUAAUCCAGGCCACAAAUUCCUCCCUGCCCAUACUCCUUUUUAUUUCAGAAUGCGUAUCUAAUAGCAACCAAGGACUUUUCCUAUUUUCUCACUUGGAAUCUGUUUUGGGAGCUUGGAAUUGCUAUCUAACUCAAUCAGUAACAUCUGUGACUGCAGGGCAGCCUGAGUGGGAACGGUUAGGGGGUUAGACAGAUUUCCUGCAUUUUAAGGCUCUUUUCCUCUGAAGAGACUGCUCUGGGACAAUCCAAUUGCCUUUAAUGCUGCUUCUUCCCUUCUUCAUUUUAACCCCAUCUUUUCUCCCCCUUUUUUCCUCCCCUCCACCUCGCUCAAGUUCUUUGGGUUUCAGAAGUAAAAAUUAUUUUAAGGACACAUGCCAGCAUUUUGAAAAGUUUCAGUUUCAAGCACAUGAAAAGGAAAGUCUGAAGGGAUUCCUAGAACUGUACUGCAGCUUGCAGCAUUUUUUCAUGCAAGUUUCUGCUGAAAAAAGACUCAGUAAUUCACCUCAGCCUGUGGCCAGCAGUCUUUUGAAGCAAAAGUGCAAGGAUUGGUGUAGACAAGUUACAUGUAUUGCACAGGGAGGAUGUUUUCCUGACUCACACUGGGAGAGGAUGACAUUCUGUGAACUGUGAGAGUUCCUAAACCUUUCAGAAGACUUCUGCUCAAUUUUCAGGCAUUAUUAUGGAACGCUGAUUCAGUUGGCGUGUUUCUUUGGAACGCUGAAAUGAAUACAGUACAUGUCAAGACACUGCAAAAACAGAAGGAGAAUUCUCAUGGACUGAUGAACUGAGAGCUGAAAUGGGAGUAGCAGAUCAGAACCAAUUGGUGAUCAGUUACUGUAUGCUGUAUCUCCAUUUUUAAGCCAUCUUAGAGAAUGAUGAGUUAGACAAGCACAAGACUCAUUGCUGGGGGAGUUCCUGGAACUACACAACAACUUACUGUCAGAGAGACUUGCAGCAUUACAAAGCAUCACCUCUGCUUUCCAGACUCUGAGUCUCCAGACAAUUAAUAUUUUAUAGUGUUAGCGAUGCUAAUUUUUCAGCCUAAAAACCAACCAAACACUGAAGUCCUGCUACUCCUGAACUGACAUCAUCCAGGAUUGCCUCAUGAGGUUCCUGUUCAGAGACGCAUGCUGGCGGGUUGCAAUGCUACUGAGAAUGGAAGGUCCAGAGCUGCAGCAGGAGUAAGGAACUUGGAAAAUGCAACUGGUGCGGAAGAGCGAGCAA
Tympanuchus pallidicinctus (lesser prairie-chicken) is the source of this 1426-nucleotide long non-coding RNA. RefSeq lists it as uncharacterized. The record is from RefSeq and is a predicted model, not a curated record. NCBI's taxonomy places the organism in Eukaryota, Metazoa, Chordata, Aves, Galliformes, Phasianidae. The transcript has 5 exons.